GCAGAAUGAGCGGUUUUGUUGGAGGGUUUAUAUUUGGCGGGGUUUGUUUUUAGUCAAACUAAAGAAAAUUGAAUGAACGAAAAACAGCAUGAACAUGAAGCCAAAACCUAUCAAGUUAAGUUGUGUUGGUGCUUGUAUUGUAUUUAUUACAUUGAAAAGGACUACAUUGUCUAUAAUAAUGAAUUGCAACCCUUGGACAACAGUUUUUGACUUAAAACUCAUAGAAUUCACAGCUGCAGCAACUGGAAUAAGAAAGAAAUUAGUAGUUUGUGCAGCAACUUGGCUCCUGAAAGGUUCCAGAGUCUAAGAACGUGUUUCCUUUUUGAUAUUUUAUUUUUGUUUGCCAAAACCUUUUGUCUGCAGCAGUUGUGAAUCAUUUUCAUUUUAUUUUUGUGUGGUUCUUCCACUGCAGCUAUAUAAUUCACAAACCAAAUGCCUUUUUGUAAUGAAAGACAUGCACACAUAUUUAAUUUCCGUUUCUGGUAUUUGUCUAAAUUGCACCUUUAUUAUAGUAUUUAUUUUUCUACUUGAACUUGGCUACGUAUAGGUGUCUAAGGAAACAUUAGCUAUUUUACAUUAUAUUUAUUAUUACUUUGACUAAUGUUAUGUUAAUGUACUCGACUGAGUUGUUUAGUUUUCCAAAGUGGAAAUGUUUCUUGCAAUGCAUAUUAUAAAAUGUGCAAUAUUUCAGAAGUUUGCCACUUUAUUAGAAUGUGUACUAUGCCUUCAUUGGCGGUGUACUUGAACCUUGAAUGUUUAUUUAAGUACAUAAAAGCUGGUCAAAUAGCAGUUCACAUAUGGGAACAAAAUAGUUCAUAGAUGUCUGUCUUUUUAACAUUGCAUUUCAAUUUUAUUGAUCUAUCAAAUUCUAAAAACAUAUGUAUGUAAUGUGUGUAACGGUUUUCUUAUUGCCCAAGGUAUUGCAAUAAAACAAAAAAAAUGCACGGGUGCAGUGGCCCAUUUUAUGAUUUGAUUCUUGAUAUCAAGAAAAACACCCAGCUGCUAAUGAUUUUGGAUAGAAAAACGAAAUCAACCUCCAAAAUCUGUCCGUAUGGGAUACCUUAUUCUACUUCAUUUAAUUUGUUUCCUUGAGUAUUGAAGACUCAAACCAAAUUUGGUAUUUCGUUUUUCACAAAGUUUAUAGCACACUUAUUGAGCAAUUUGGGGGUUGGUUUUGAUUUAUUUAUUUUUAUUUUAUUUUUCUUGGUAUAUAUUUUGACUCAAAGUCAAUUCGUUUGAGACAUUUAAACACAAUCCGCUACAUUUUCAAUUAAAUGUAUUGCCUCUCCUUUUCUCUGACAUCUAGAAAGAUGCUGCUGUGUACACUCUCUACAUCAGGAAAGUCAAGAGUAGCCCAGUGGCUUCAUCAGAAAUGGGUGAGGAGCCCUAGUCUAGUUCAAAAAUAUAAAAAUAACUAAAAAAUCUAAUUUACUUUUUAAAUGUUAUGUUGCUAUUAAAUGUUCACAUUUUGAUACAUAUUUGCAAAUCCACAGGUCAAGUUAGUGUGGUGGAAAGUUUAUUGCCAUUUCUGCCUAUUAAUGGAAGACGUUUCAUUUGUUCAAGUAGUUUGUUACUGUGGAAUAAUAAAAAUUAAAAUAUAUUAAGAAUUCUA
Long non-coding RNA from Pelobates fuscus (common spadefoot toad), 1612 nucleotides. RefSeq lists it as uncharacterized. The transcript has 2 exons. The record is from RefSeq and is a predicted model, not a curated record. Lineage: Eukaryota; Metazoa; Chordata; Amphibia; Anura; Pelobatidae.